Molecule: ribosomal RNA, 460 nt
Filed under: uncultured bacterium
Lineage: Bacteria
Description: partial 16S ribosomal RNA
Rfam family: Bacterial small subunit ribosomal RNA
Source: RNAcentral
CCUACGGGUGGCAGCAGUGAGGAAUAUUGGUCAAUGGGCGGAAGCCUGAACCAGCCAAGUCGCGUGAGGGAAUAAGGCCCUACGGGUCGUAAACCUCUUUUGCCGGGGAGCAAGGGCGGGGACGUGUCCCGGCCCGGAGAGUACCCGGAGAAAAAGCAUCGGCUAACUCCGUGCCAGCAGCCGCGGUAAUACGGAGGAUGCGAGCGUUAUCCGGAUUUAUUGGGUUUAAAGGGUGUGUAGGCGGGCUUUUAAGUCAGCGGUAAAAAUUCGGGGCUCAACCCCGUCCGGCCGUUGAAACUGGGGGCCUUGAGUGGGCGAGAAGAAGGCGGAAUGCGUGGUGUAGCGGUGAAAUGCAUAGAUAUCACGCAGAACCCCGAUUGCGAAGGCAGCAUACCGGCUCCACACUGACGCUGAGGCACGAAAGCGUGGGUAUCGAACAGGAUUAGAUACCCUAGUAGUC